CCUACGGGCGGCUGCAGUGGGGAAUAUUGGACAAUGGGGGGAACCCUGAUCCAGCGACGCCGCGUGAGUGAAGAAGUAUUUCGGUAUGUAAAGCUCUAUCAGCAGGGAAGAAAGAAAUGACGGUACCUGACUAAGAAGCCCCGGCUAACUACGUGCCAGCAGCCGCGGUAAUACGGAGGGGGCAAGCGUUAUCCGGAUUUACUGGGUGUAAGGGGAGCGUAGGCGGCGAUGCAAGUCUGAAGUGAAAGGCGGGGGCCCAACCCCUGGACUGCUUUGGAAACUGUAUGGCUGGAGUGCAGGAGGGGUAAGUGGAAUUCAUGGUGUAGCGGUGAAAUGCGUAGAUAUUAGGAAGAACACCAGUGGCGAAGGCGGGCUGCUGGACAGUAACUGACGUUGAGGCUCGAAAGCGUGGGGAGCAAACAGGAUUAGAUACCCGGGUAGUC
RNAcentral lists this ribosomal RNA (443 nucleotides) under uncultured bacterium. RNAcentral's name for it is "partial 16S ribosomal RNA". It matches the Rfam family "Bacterial small subunit ribosomal RNA", at positions 338 to 795 of the family's 1533-position model. The record is from RNAcentral.